GCAGAAGUGCCGAGUCCCGGCCGGGGGCAGCCUCGCCGCCGCUCAGCUCGGGAAUCCCUGCCCCCCACCAGCACCUCAGUGGGGGAUACUGCAAGUUCAAGCACCAGCCUCACAGUAACAGCCGGCACACAGCACUUAGGCUGCCUGGUGUUCCAGAAGCUUCUGCAGGGGCUCUAUGCUGCACUCAAGGCAUCCCUAAGAGGAGAGCAUUUUGCUGUCCCCACUUUACGGAGAAGGAACGUGGGCUCAGGGUGGUUUAAGGCGUGAAUGAAUGAAGGAGCAAGCAGUAAGCCCCGACAGCAAGGCCACCACAGCCCUCGCCCCACAGGGACGCCUGAGCAAGGACCCAAGCAGGGGACAAGCAGGCUCACCCCGCCCUUGCGGGGCUGACCACGAGGCCCCGUCCGGUGGAACACGCCAUGACGCUUCAGGAGGCUCAUGUAGCUGGCGCCGUAUGGGACAGCGGGGGAGAGAGAAAAUGCACAGCCCAGGGAAUGUGGAGACAGGCCCAGCGCCAGGCAUGGGGGCCGGAAGGAGCAGCCGGGGAGCAGGGGGCAGGGCCUGGAGUCCCGCCUUGCAGAUCUGAACCUGCCCCAGCCCCAGGACUCUGAGUGCAGCAAGAGGGGAGCCGGGCUGGAGAGUGGGGAGCACGGAGACUGUGGCCUGGAUGGUGCCAGAGCAAACAGGAGAGAGGCUGCCCAACGCAGAGGCUGCAGCACAGACCAGAGGGUCCCGGGGCUGACUGGGUGGGGGCAGCUCCCAGCGAGAGGCCCCUGGGAUUUGGGUAAGUAGAGGCACAUGCAGACUCUGGCCACAGGGCACCUCGCGCACGAGGGGAGUUCACCACACAAGCUGAGCGGAGGGCGGACGCAGGAGAGCAGCGGUUUCUCGGAAGCCAAGGGCGGUCAUGGAGCCCCACGCCACAGCGCUUCCCACGGGGCCACACCAUCCGGUCUGCGGAGGGGGCUGCAUUGCCGGGAAGGACCAUCUGAUUCUGGAUUCCAGCCUCACCCUGGGCCACCGCUGAGUGUCCCAAGUGGCCCCUUAGCCCCCAGGGCCAGGCGGCAUCCCAAUCCCCUAGGGAUGUCUGUGCUCAGAAUGUGGCACACACGCCCCGGCAGGGCCAUCCUCCUCCUCCUGCACCCGCCACAGCCGUGGAUUCGGGGUCUCUAUCGUGGGCAGAAAUUCACACAGUCAAGGUGAGGGUCCCAGGAGCAGCUGUGACCAGGCCCCGGCUGCCAGGGAGAGGGGGUCUUCAGCCGACGGGGCAGACACCCUGAGAUGGACCCUUGUCCAGGGGAGGGCCCUGCCACCCACAAUUCCUUGGCAUUCCUGCACCAGCAGGACGGGCUGAGGGAGGCGCCUCACCAGUGCCAGCGCCCAGCAUCACUGUGCCCCGGUGGAGGGGGAGGCCCUUCCGAGCCUGGGCCUGGGUGUGGAUGAGGGCAGGUCUCUCACCUCUCUGACCUCAGCUUCCUCAACUGGGAAGGGGGGCCACAGCACCCCCUUAGGGGUGAUGAGGAAGUGGGAGCUCAGGGAGGACCCCGGGCAGGGCUGCCUCCUCACCUCUCUUCGGCCUUUGGACACUGGAGCUCAGAGGACCAAGUGAAUGAAUGAAUGACUCGAUCAAUCAACUGAUCCAUGAAUCCAUGGACCCCUGAACAGCUGGACAGCUGGGCUGUGGGCAGGACAGGGGACUCUGGCUGAAGCCGCGUUCAUAUGUGUUCAGCUUUAGGCCUCCACUGUGCCCGGACCAGCGGCCCACUCAGUGAGUCGAGUGUGCACCUGGCACCCCUCUUUCUGGAAAUCCACGAACAAUGGGCUCCCAGCAGAGGACUGAGGCUGAGCAGGCCACUUCCCUGGAGCUGACCCCACAGCUGUCCUGCUCCUCCUUCGCCUUCUGCCAUGACUGUAAGCUUUCUGAGGGCUGACCAGAAGCCCAGCAGAUGCCAGCACCAUGCUUCCUAUACAGCCUGCAGAACCGUGAGCCAGCUAAACCUCUCCUCAUAAAUCACCGAGCCCCAGGUUUAUCUUUACAGCAAUGCAAGACCUGACUAAUACAGCACCAGCUCCCCAAAAUAAAAAGAAAUAUUCAAACAAAUAAGCGCACAGAAGUGUUCCCAGCAGCACUAUUCACAGCAGCCAAAAGGCGGAGGAGCCACAGGCUUGUCAGCUGAUGACAGAUAAAGAAAGCAUGGCCUGUCAUCCCAGCACUUUGGGAGGCCGAGGUGGGUGGAUCACCUGAGGUUGGGAGUUCAAGACCAGCCUGGCCAACAUGGUGAAACCCAGUCUCUACUAAAAA
This 2302-nucleotide long non-coding RNA is filed under the name Homo sapiens (human). Its description in RNAcentral is "cardiomyocyte maturation associated lncRNA". Lineage: Eukaryota; Metazoa; Chordata; Mammalia; Primates; Hominidae. The record is from RNAcentral.